AAUUUUUAAAUUUAAAAUAAUAUAUAAAUUUUAAUUUAAAUAUAUAUUAAAUUAAUAAUAUAUUUUAUUAAUAAUUAAAUUUAAAAAAUAUUAAAGAAAUUUUUAUUUUGUAAAAAUUUAUAAUUUUAAAUAAAAAAAGUGCCAGCAAUAGCGGUUAAACUUUUUAUAAAAAAUUAAUUUAGUUAAUAUUAAUUAAUUAAAUAAAUACCUUUUUAUUAUUAAUAAAUUUAAAUUAUUUGGUUAAAUAUAAAUUAAAUAAAUAAUUUAAUAUAAUUAACAUUAAGAAUUAUUUUUAUAAUAAAAAUUUAAAAAAUUUUAAAAAAAACUAGGAUUAGAUACCCUAUUAUUAAAAAAUAAAAAAUAUAAAAUAUUAAUAUAGUAAAUUUUAAUAAUUAAAUAAAUAAAUUUGACGGUAUUUUAAUUUAUUUAGGGGAACUUAUUAUUUAAUUUGAUAAUACACGAUAAGAAAAACUUAUAAUAUUAUAUUUAUGUAUAUUCGUUUAAAAAAAAAUUUUUAAAAAAUAAUUUUUUUAAUAUUAAAUUAAAUUAUAAUUCAGAUAAAUAUAUAAUUAGUUUAUAAGAAAUUAAAUGAGUUACAAUAAAUUAAAUUUAUAAUAAAAAUAAUUUUAACAAUAAAAUUUAUAAAGAAUUUAAUUGUAAAAUUAGUUAAUUAACUAAUUUGAUUAAUAAUAUUAAAAUAUGUACAAAUUGCCCGUCAAUUUAAUUAUAUUAAUUUUAAAAUUUAAAAAUUUUAUAAAAAUUAAAUUAAAUAAGUCGUAACAAAGUAAAAAUACUGGAAAGUGUUUUU
Molecule: ribosomal RNA, 808 nt
Filed under: Dryocosmus liui
Lineage: Eukaryota; Metazoa; Arthropoda; Insecta; Hymenoptera; Cynipidae
Description: 12S ribosomal RNA
Source: RNAcentral